UACAGGGGGGGCAAGCGUUGUUCGGAAUUACUGGGCGUAAAGGGCCAGUAGGCGGCCAACUAAGUCCGACGUGAAAUCCCCAGGCUUAACCUGGGAACUGCGUCGGAUACUGGUUGGCUUGAGUUCGGGAGAGGGAUGCGGAAUUCCAGGUGUAGCGGUGAAAUGCGUAGAUAUCUGGAGGAACACCGGUGGCGAAGGCGGCAUCCUGGACCGACACUGACGCUGAGGAGCGAAAGCCAGGGGAGCAAACGGG
Molecule: ribosomal RNA, 253 nt
Filed under: uncultured bacterium
Lineage: Bacteria
Description: partial 16S ribosomal RNA
Rfam family: Bacterial small subunit ribosomal RNA
Source: RNAcentral